CUAUCUUCAAAAACAGCUGAUCCUGCCGAACACUCUAUUGGACACUAGUUGCUUCUCUCGCUACUUAGUACUUCUGCUUUCUGCUUCAAAGUGCUAUAUAGGAAUUAGGAGAUGAAUUUGUGCACUGAUAAAUAAUGGAGAGGCUUAAAGUACUUUUUAUUACAAAUAUAUUCUUAUUAUUGCAAUACAAACAUUAAACAAAACACAUAUGGAAUUACAAAAAUAUUGAGGUUUUAUGUAUAAAAAAUUUUAGUGAGUGAAAAGCUGAGAAUCAUUAAAAUAUAGAGUAAGUUAUACAAAAAUAUUGCAUUUUAAUAAAAAAAAAUCUUUUUUAUCGCGGGCACAUGACGCUUCGUCCACCGUCAACG
This is a long non-coding RNA of Nasonia vitripennis (jewel wasp), 368 nucleotides long. RefSeq lists it as uncharacterized. NCBI's taxonomy places the organism in Eukaryota, Metazoa, Arthropoda, Insecta, Hymenoptera, Pteromalidae. The transcript is spliced from 2 exons. The record is from RefSeq and is a predicted model, not a curated record.